Molecule: ribosomal RNA, 465 nt
Filed under: Vreelandella stevensii
Lineage: Bacteria; Pseudomonadati; Pseudomonadota; Gammaproteobacteria; Oceanospirillales; Halomonadaceae
Description: partial 16S ribosomal RNA
Rfam family: Bacterial small subunit ribosomal RNA
Source: RNAcentral
CCUACGGGAGGCAGCAGUGGGGAAUAUUGGACAAUGGGCGAAAGCCUGAUCCAGCCAUGCCGCGUGUGUGAAGAAGGCCUUCGGGUUGUAAAGCACUUUCAGUGGGGAAGAAAGCCUUGGGGCUAAUACCCUCGAGGAAGGACAUCACCCACAGAAGAAGCACCGGCUAACUCCGUGCCAGCAGCCGCGGUAAUACGGAGGGUGCGAGCGUUAAUCGGAAUUACUGGGCGUAAAGCGCGCGUAGGCGGUCUGAUAAGCCGGUUGUGAAAGCCCCGGGCUCAACCUGGGAACGGCAUCCGGAACUGUCAGGCUAGAGUGCAGGAGAGGAAGGUAGAAUUCCCGGUGUAGCGGCGAAAUGCGUAGAGAUCGGGAGGAAUACCAGUGGCGAAGGCGGCCUUCUGGACUGACACUGACGCUGAGGUGCGAAAGCGUGGGUAGCAAACAGGAUUAGAUACCCCAGUAGUC